GUCUGUCGCCAUGGCAGGAAAUGGUGAACGUGUAGUGAUUGGUACCCCAAAGCAUGACGAGAAUGGGAAAAACUCUGGGCAGGUGAAAGUAUUUGAGUACAAUUCACAAGAAGAGU
RNAcentral lists this non-coding RNA (116 nucleotides) under Chaetoceros debilis. The record is from RNAcentral. Lineage: Eukaryota; Bacillariophyta; Thalassiosirophyceae; Chaetocerotales; Chaetocerotaceae.